GGGAGGGAGUGAGGGAGGUAGAUAGUGUCCCACUGCCUUCACAUCCUCCGUA
RNAcentral lists this microRNA precursor (52 nucleotides) under Echinococcus granulosus. Its description in RNAcentral is "microRNA egr-mir-10280 precursor". The record is from miRBase by way of RNAcentral. Lineage: Eukaryota; Metazoa; Platyhelminthes; Cestoda; Cyclophyllidea; Taeniidae.